Molecule: ribosomal RNA, 494 nt
Filed under: uncultured bacterium
Lineage: Bacteria
Description: partial 16S ribosomal RNA
Rfam family: Bacterial small subunit ribosomal RNA
Source: RNAcentral
GACGAACGCUGGCGGCGUGCUUAACACAUGCAAGUCGAACGGUGAAGCGCCUUCCUUUUUGGUGGGUGUGGAUGAGUGGCGAACGGGUGAGUAACACGUGAGUAACCUGCCCCCUUCUUCUGGAUAACCGCAUGAAAGUGUGGCUAAUACGGGAUAUUCUGGUUCUGUCGCAUGAUGGGUCUGGGAAAGAGAUUGUUUCGGUGGGGGAGGGGCUCGCGGCCUAUCAGCUUGUUGGUGGGGUGAUGGCCUACCAAGGCGGUGACGGGUAGACGGCCUGAGAGGGUGGACGGUCACACUGGGACUGAGACCCGGCCCAGACUCCUACGGGGGGCAGCAGUGGGGAAUAUUGCACAGUGGGCGAAAGCGUGAUGCAGCGACGCCGCGUGAGGGAUGGAGGCCUGCGGGUUGUGAACCUCUUUCGCCAGUGAAGCAGGCCUGCCUCGUUUGUGGGUGGGUUGACGGUAGCUGGAUAAGAAGCACCGGCUAACUACGUG